RNAcentral lists this ribosomal RNA (301 nucleotides) under uncultured bacterium. Its description in RNAcentral is "partial 16S ribosomal RNA". It matches the Rfam family "Bacterial small subunit ribosomal RNA", at positions 509 to 807 of the family's 1533-position model. The record is from RNAcentral.
CAGUAGCCACGGGAAUACGGAGGGGGCUAGCGUUGUUCGGAAUUACUGGGCGUAAAGCGCACGUAGGCGGUUUUGUAAGUCAGAGGUGAAAGCCCGGAGCUCAACUCCGGAACUGCCUUUGAGACUGCAUCACUUGAACGUCGGAGAGGUGAGUGGAAUUCCGAGUGUAGAGGUGAAAUUCGUAGAUAUUCGGAAGAACACCAGUGGCGAAGGCGGCUCACUGGACGACUGUUGACGCUGAGGUGCGAAAGCGUGGGGAGCAAACAGGAUUAGAUACCCGUGUAGUCCCUGUCUCUUAUAC